CACCGCCAGUCGCUCCUACCGAUUGAAUGAUCCGGUGAAAUGUUCGAAUUGCGGCGACCUCGGUGGUUCGCUUCCCUGCGAUGUCGCGAGAAGUCUAUUGAACCUUAUCAUUUAGAGGAAGGAGAAGUCGUAACAAGGUUUCUGUAGGUGAACCUUCAGAAA
This 162-nucleotide non-coding RNA is filed under the name Solanum tuberosum (potato). RNAcentral describes it as "rRNA SSU_rRNA_eukarya". It matches the Rfam family "Eukaryotic small subunit ribosomal RNA", at positions 1667 to 1823 of the family's 1831-position model. Lineage: Eukaryota; Viridiplantae; Streptophyta; Magnoliopsida; Solanales; Solanaceae. The record is from Rfam by way of RNAcentral.